RNAcentral lists this non-coding RNA (148 nucleotides) under Nomascus leucogenys (northern white-cheeked gibbon). Lineage: Eukaryota; Metazoa; Chordata; Mammalia; Primates; Hylobatidae. The record is from Rfam by way of RNAcentral.
GCUGAGUGUGGUGGUGCACGCUUGUAAUCCCAGCUAUUUGGGAGGCUGAGGCAGGAGAAUCACUUGAACCUGGGAGGUGGAGGUUGCAGUGAGCUGAGAUCAUGCCACUGCACUUCCACCUGGGUGACAGAGUGAGACUCCAUCUCAA